RNAcentral lists this ribosomal RNA (1429 nucleotides) under uncultured organism. RNAcentral describes it as "16S ribosomal RNA". It matches the Rfam family "Bacterial small subunit ribosomal RNA". The record is from RNAcentral.
GACGAACGCUGGCGGCGUGCUUAACACAUGCAAGUCGAACGGAAAGGCCCUGCUUUUGUGGGGUGCUCGAGUGGCGAACGGGUGAGUAACACGUGAGUAACCUGCCCUUGACUUUGGGAUAACUUCAGGAAACUGGGGCUAAUACCGGAUAGGAGCUCCUGCUGCAUGGUGGGGGUUGGAAAGUUUCGGCGGUUGGGGAUGGACUCGCGGCUUAUCAGCUUGUUGGUGGGGUAGUGGCUUACCAAGGCUUUGACGGGUAGCCGGCCUGAGAGGGUGACCGGCCACAUUGGGACUGAGAUACGGCCCAGACUCCUACGGGAGGCAGCAGUGGGGAAUAUUGCACAAUGGGCGGAAGCCUGAUGCAGCAACGCCGCGUGCGGGAUGACGGCCUUCGGGUUGUAAACCGCUUUCGCCUGUGACGAAGCGUGAGUGACGGUAAUGGGUAAAGAAGCACCGGCUAACUACGUGCCAGCAGCCGCGGUGAUACGUAGGGUGCGAGCGUUGUCCGGAUUUAUUGGGCGUAAAGGGCUCGUAGGUGGUUGAUCGCGUCGGAAGUGUAAUCUUGGGGCUUAACCCUGAGCGUGCUUUCGAUACGGGUUGACUUGAGGAAGGUAGGGGAGAAUGGAAUUCCUGGUGGAGCGGUGGAAUGCGCAGAUAUCAGGAGGAACACCAGUGGCGAAGGCGGUUCUCUGGGCCUUUCCUGACGCUGAGGAGCGAAAGCGUGGGGAGCGAACAGGCUUAGAUACCCUGGUAGUCCACGCUGUAAACGGUGGGUACUAGGUGUGGGGUCCAUUCCACGGGUUCCGUGCCGUAGCUAACGCUUUAAGUACCCCGCCUGGGGAGUACGGCCGCAAGGCUAAAACUCAAAGGAAUUGACGGGGCCCCGCACAAGCGGCGGAGCAUGCGGAUUAAUUCGAUGCAACGCGUAGAACCUUACCUGGGUUUGACAUGGAUCGGGAGCGCUCAGAGAUGGGUGUGCCUCUUUUGGGGUCGGUUCACAGGUGGUGCAUGGCUGUCGUCAGCUCGUGUCGUGAGAUGUUGGGUUAAGUCCCGCAACGAGCGCAACCCUUGUUCACUGUUGCCAGCACGUUAUGGUGGGGACUCAGUGGAGACCGCCGGGGUCAACUCGGAGGAAGGUGGGGAUGACGUCAAGUCAUCAUGCCCCUUAUGUCCAGGGCUUCACGCAUGCUACAAUGGCUGGUACAGAGAGUGGCGAGCCUGUGAGGGUGAGCGAAUCUCGGAAAGCCGGUCUCAGUUCGGAUUGGGGUCUGCAACUCGACCUCAUGAAGUCGGAGUCGCUAGUAAUCGCAGAUCAGCAACGCUGCGGUGAAUACGUUCCCGGGGCUUGUACACACCGCCCGUCAAGUCAUGAAAGUUGGUAACACCCGAAGCCGGUGGCCUAACCGUUGUGGGGGAGCCGUCGAGGGUG